RNAcentral lists this ribosomal RNA (212 nucleotides) under uncultured bacterium. RNAcentral's name for it is "partial 16S ribosomal RNA". It matches the Rfam family "Bacterial small subunit ribosomal RNA", at positions 1290 to 1500 of the family's 1533-position model. The record is from RNAcentral.
AGUUCGGAUCGCAGGCUGCAACCCGCCUGCGUGAAGUCGGAAUCGCUAGUGAUCNCGGAUCAGCAUGCCGCGGUGAAUACGUUCCCGGGCCCUUGUACACACCGCCCGUCACACCAUGAGAGUCGGGAACACCCGAAGUCCGUAGCCUAACCGCAAGGAGGGUGCGGCCGAAGGUGGGUUCGAUAAUUGGGGUGAAGUCGUAACAAGGUAGC